AUUAAAUCAAACAGCGGUAAAGUGCUUUAUUUGAUUUACAAAGUAAAAGAGGCCACUUUUAUUAGACUGAAGUUUGGUUCAAGAUCAUUGAAAAAGAAAAAACGCUCUCUGAAAAACAGCAACUCCUCCAGAUGUAGGGUCACUUUUCAGAACUUUUUAUAAUCAAUAGUUUGGUCUAUAACUUCAUUACACGUUCGCUAACAGAGGUUUAACACAUGGAAGCUGUUGUUUUUGUUAAAGCAAAAGGAAGAAAGGUCAUAAUUGAGAGCACAAAGACUUUUUCCUUAGCCCUGAAAAACUAACAUGGAGGUCCUUAGAGAGUGUGUUGUUGUUGGAAACGACGUUCAGGUUCCACGUCCGUUCAGGUGUCUGCGUAUUUUUGGUCACAUCCAGAUUAAACCUCACUUAUUCCUGUAAAAGUAUAACUUUCUGACUCAUCUUUGGCUGUUUUCUGGUUUCACAGAUGGCUGACGAGGUUUCCAUUCGCUCUCCCUCAGCUCUCCAGAAUUUGCCACCAAACAUGGGAAGCCAUCAGACAUAUGAGCUCUCAAAUUAGCAUCGAUUCAGUGACAGACGCAGGGAUGGAGGACGCAGAUCGAGAUAUGAUUAAAGGUCAGAGUCAGGAGAAAUUACAGGCCUGUUGCGCUCAUGUUAUUUUCCAUGUCAGGUCGGUCUGGAAGGGUUCGAACCUGUGGCCCAUCCUACAGCUUGGUUAGCGGUGACACAGCCAGAGGAGACACGGCAGGAUGGUUAAUAGUCGUAUCCGGGACAGGAGAGUUCUGGGAAAUCGGUGGCAGAUGUUGGCGAGUUUGGAUGUAAAUCAGGACUUUGAGAAUCGAACUGUGGAAAGAAUUUAAAACCAUUACAGGGACCCAGUAGUGUUUUACGCUUUAUCCUGUUUGUGUUUGGUUGAUUCUGAUGGUUAAGUCUUAUUUGUUUGGGGUUGUGUCUAAAAGUUCAAACUUUUAGAGCGAUAGAUUUCAAACAAAGAGGACCUGAUUCACCGCUGAGAGUCUUUGUUCAAUGCUGCCCUGAAAUGCUCCUCUGUUUUCCUGCACCAUGAUGUGGUUCAAAGACACUUUAUAAAAAUGUGGAGCGUGUGAUUCUUGAACUUGUGCACUAAGUUCAAAGUGAUAAAUCUGUAAAAUUGAACUCAUGAGGUUUCUCUGCCUGAUAGAUGAUCGCAUGUUUCUUUUGUGAAAGCAGCUCCUUGUUCAUUUAUUUCUGCUUUUAUUUUAGCUUGAUGCUUUUUUAUUCCAGCCAUGAUCAGUGACUCUAAACCAGCUCUUUCCUGCCCCAGUUUGACCUUUUGAAACCGGGGAAUGGACGACACACUUAUUCACUCUGUUUCCGGCACUUGAUGAAAUUAACUUGUGCAUAAACCAUUACACAUUCAUGGAGAGAAUCAGACACAGAGAUGAAGUUUUCCCUCUUUCUUAUAUGAGCUGAUGUUAUGAAAGGUGUCUGCAUAUUUGGGGAGUUUGUGGCUUUUUAGUGGAGACCUCAUUUUCUAUUUACUGCUAGUUUUAUUGAUUUUAUAAGAUGCUUUCACUGCAUGUUUACCGCUGAUAGGACACAGUUUGAAUUUAAGAGAUCCAGCUUCUGUUAUACUUCAUUUUCUGAUGCCUAGUUUUCUCUGUUUCUGUAUCAGUAUCUGUAUCUGUUUCUGUAUCAGUGCAGAAAAAAAACACCUCACCCACCAACUGUCUCUGACCGACAGUAAACCCAGAUGAUGCCAUCCUCUGUUGUUUCCCUGUUCCAUCGCUGACAGGGUGAGUCACUCUGAGCCGUGUUCAUGACUUCUAGAUUAGUCAUUAUCUACAGGAUUAGACCGCAGAGGUCGAAUAAUCUUACAAAAAGCAUCUAUAAUCCUUAAAUAAAUAUCUGUGGUCAUUAAUAAUCCGCUAAGUUGAAAGAUGAAUAUUAAAAUAGAAAUAAUACUUUAUACUAGUAGUCACCCCCUGCUGAAAAGAAAGUGUUCACAGCAUCCAGAGUUAUUAGUCACCUCAGCUAUUCAACAUCCUCUUUCUUUAGUAUUUUAAGACAAUUUUUCCAGAACAACAAAACAUCCGCUGUGUGUGUGCAAGUCAGUCAACUUGUGCCAAGUACGAUACACAUUAAUAAGAACUUAGAAUAAAGUUGCACGACAGUACAUACGCCUGAUUAUACAGGUGAAAACAAAGCCUCGCAGUGGAGAAGAUCUGGCGGCAGAGAGGGCCUCAUGGCAGAGCUCUGUAGCCUGACCCCCUGGUCAUGUCUUUUCAUACUUUCUUUGAGAUGUUUAGUGUGUUUCUGAGUUUUUCCACAUCUUCAGCCUGUUUGUUGGUCUGCGUUAUGAGUUUGGGGCUGUCUAACUGAAAUUUCAAACUUAAAAGAUUCAAACUUACAGAAAUCUAGUGUUUUGUAAAGCUUACUUCCACUGUCCAAGAGGUCUCUUGUGUUUGAAUUUGCAUCUUGGUUCUAAGAGGCUAUGUCUGUUUUUGUAUUAAUGUGUAAACAUGGUGAGUUGUUUGGCUGUGGUUAGAUGAAUGUUAUUCUUCUUGUUCGCUGUUUAAUGUUGGUUUGGGGAGAUCUUAAAAGUCAUUUAACUUGGCAUGAGUGUGCUGCAAAUAAAAAGAAUUUUUCAUGAUGUAAAACUGAAAAAAAAAGUUUUAUGUAGUCCUAUAAGGACUUCUUUGGGCUGUAGUUAAAGCAGUUGUAAUGUGCAGCCCUUUCUUCCUCACUCAUCUUUCUCACAGUGAAACACAGAAACCCACUAGUCUUAUUUGCGCUGCGCCUCAGGAGGCCUGCUAAAUCAAUAACAUCACCAUCAUAUUUCUGAGUAUGUCUGUAUUGCCUCAAACUUUGAAGUGUUUGCAGGAGAAAUUUUCAACAACCUGUUGAGUCAUGAGUUGUUUUCCCCGCAGACCCGAGCGCUCAGAUUGUUGUUGUGUUGUUGUUGUUGUUGUUGUUGCUGUUGUUGUUGGUGAUCUCUGGGUGUAUGAACAGUUCUUUUGUGGUCUUUUGCAGAACAUUUCUCGUACACCCUCUCCUGUCCGGUCUGGUCCAGUCACAAAUUCCAGUUAGCUCGACGCCACUGAAGCCAAAGGUGAGAAGUCAAAGCAAAAAAGCUCUAGAAAAAUGAAGACCCCACUCCAAAAGUUGGACAAGACAAGUUUUGGUAGACUAUAGCCAAUGAAAAGGGGAGUUGACGAUAACGACAUCAUCAACAACACUGGCACGAAAACGUCAGUGGUGUGGAGGUAUUUUGUUUUUUUGAGGUCAGACAUGAAGCAGAGUAAUGUGCACUGCAAACUAUGUCGAGUACGUGUUAAAUUUCAUUUAAGAGUAACAGGGAACACUUUAGAUUGACUAGUUAUUUUUUAAUAUUGUGAUAUGUAUCUAAAUUGACUGAUAUGGAAAAAAUAUAUUGUGAUAAACUUUUUCCCAUGUCGCCCAGCCCUAUGAAGAAUUAUUUUUCAGUUAUUUUUGGGGCAUUUUUGUCUUUAUUAAGAUGCAAGUUUAUCAAAUGCAGGAAGGCAAAGGUUCAAACAUGAACUGAAAGAAGUAUUAAUAUCCCCUGUCCCAGACUUCAAGAGAAGAACAUCAGUCUUCAGAGUUCACCUGAGACUGUCCUGGAGACUAUCUAUCACCAGGAAGGAGGAUGCUGCAACGCUGGAAUUUAGGGUAUGCAAUAUCUGUAUCUUCUAUCAAACAGCAGUGAUUCUUCUGAAAACAGUGAAUGAACAUAAAAUAAAGAAAGUAAUUAGAUUAUUUAGAAAGGGAGUUUACCAAAAAUGCACAAAAUCGAAACCAAACCCAGUUUCUGCGUCAAGAUUAACUGCGUCACCAAGGAAGCGAUAUCAGUAAAUAAAAAAAAAACUCAACUAAUUAAAAAAAAUAAACACUUUUAGUUAAUUCUAAGUACAGCUGUAUGUACGCAAAACUAAAAGGACGGAUGUCAAGAAAAAGCUGGAGUUUUCCAAAACCACAGUUUUUAAUGACGUAAUCCUGUGGUUUCUUGUGGACGGCAGGCCAAAAUGUAUCAAAUAUAUCCGUUUAAGCAAAUACCAGGCUCGGUGUGGAAGAAGCCUCAAUCAAACAAGAGCACACCAACAUUCAAGAAACCAAAAAAACUCAAAACAAAAGGUUCAGAUCAAAUUAUCAAAACUGCUUCAACAAAUUGAACCAAAAAAUUCAGAGUCGGAUGGAUUUGCAGACUCUUUCGUGAUCGACAGCACAUCUAUUUAUGAAAGCUCUAGCUCAGAGAAUCCAAAUUAUAAUCAGGCAACACACAGAUCUGUUUACUUGUUUCAGACUAAAGGGAUAUAAAUAAAGAUCCGCCCUCCCACGACGACAUCUCAUCGACUGCCAGUUGUUUCCCGCUCAUGAUUGCAUCUGGACCUCUGACCCGACAUCCUCCUACCCUGUACUUUUAACUCAGCAGCCAAUGGAAACCUCUGCUCCUAUUUUUACCUCGUG
Molecule: long non-coding RNA, 4461 nt
Filed under: Xyrichtys novacula (pearly razorfish)
Lineage: Eukaryota; Metazoa; Chordata; Actinopteri; Labriformes; Labridae
Source: RNAcentral